AUCGUCAGACACGAGACUCGUUCACGCUCGUUUUCCGAAUCGGUCCCGGUCCGUGUCGAGGUCGACCAGCGAGCAACCAGCGAGCAGAGGAAGCUUGCGAGCAUCGUUCGAGAGCAGGCAACCGACGAACAAGCACCAAAAUGGCUGCCAGCUCGUGGAGAACGCCGACGACUAUUGCGUGCGUGGGUGACGCGUGCCUGACGUCAAUUUAUCGUCGCCGCGACGAUAACGAUUAUUUUGUUGGGUUGCGCCUCCGUUAUCGCGUUAUCGCAUUUUAUUGGAGGCCAAUGUCGAAGUCGGCGAAAUGAAAAAUUUACAAUCCGCUGAUUGAUAAGACAAACGAUUUCUUUGAAUUUUUAGCGCAAUGUUAGCUCCUGUUUCACGACGUAUUGGUUAGACUUGCCACGAUUUAUUCGGAAAAACGCGAGAGGAUUUUUCAAUUUUGAUUUUCUACCAUUUUGGUUAACCCAACUGUAAAUGUCCGUUAUUUGUUGGAAAUUCGUUCUCUUCUUACCCUUUGACGCAUGAAACGGUGAAUUUUGCUUUACUUGCAACUGGCAAUGGAAAUUAAAAAAUAUGAACUUGGGUAUGAAUUAAUAAAUAUAAAUUUCAUAUUAUGGAAUGUAAUUAUUGAAAUGUUAGAGAAGGAAAUAAACUGAAUUUUUAGUGAGAAAUUGCUUGUUCCAGGGAACAAAGUUAUUUGAUACCUGGUUCCGAAUACAGCGAAAUCGUAUUAUGGAUCAUAGUAUCAAAAUAAUAUUAUAUACAAAAUAAUAUCAUAAUAAAGCUAAUCGCCAACUAAUCAAUAAUCGCCAACAAACUAUGUAUAGUUGAUUAUAAUAAUUUCAUAUACGUUCGAUAAAUACCCGUAGUCUAUUAAUCUCUAUGUAAGUAAAGGGAAUCGUUGCUUUUCCAAUACAUCAGGAAGUGAUUCAGACACAGCUUCGAGCGGAAGACUCGCCGUAGCAAGUAGUAAAGUCUUAUCGAUGUCAGGCAGUUAGACAGUCAGACAAGCUACCACACCCACCGAUUAUUCUCGAACAUUUCCUAUCGCUUCACGAUAUUUAAUAUUAACCGUGAUAUUUUAAACCAAUUUCCGUUGAUUAUUACGUCGAAGUACGAUACUUUAGUUCUCUAAUACGUCAUCAUAAAUACUGACGUAACCGAUAAUCAUCGAGACACGCACAGUGUAAUAUUAUCUGUUUAACGAGCCUGAUUGAACGCUACAAGAAAAAGUUUCCGGAGUUCUUGAACCGUGAAAGUACCAGGAAGUAGGAUGCUUGUGACUUUUAAUGAUUUGACUAGAACUUUCAGUGGUAAGCUGAGCGAAAUUGAGUUUCGCGUACGUAAUUUGGGUUUGCAC
Molecule: long non-coding RNA, 1363 nt
Organism: Bombus impatiens (common eastern bumble bee)
Lineage: Eukaryota; Metazoa; Arthropoda; Insecta; Hymenoptera; Apidae
Exons: 3
Source: RefSeq, a predicted model, not a curated record